AGUACCUGCACAAUGAUUUAUGCUCGAUUCACACGCUUUUAAUAAAAUAAACGUUAACAGACCAUUCGAUGAAACAAAUGAAUAAAGAAAACAGAAUAUUAUCUAUAUAAUUGAUAAAUAUAAGCUACAAAAUAGAACCAUAAAACAGCAGGGUUCAUUAACACAAUCAAUCAGUCUAUUAAAACAAAUUUGAGGUUAGUUGGUACAUGUAAAUUCAUGUUAGAUUUCAUCACAUAGACUCAUAACCUCUUUCAAUGCUGUAUCUGUUAUAUAUUAAGCCUACGGAAAAGAUAUAUUAAAAUUGUGAAGAAGGAAAUAUAAAAGAAUGCGGUGUGUUACGACAUUUAAGAGUAAAUUAUUACCAGUAUUUCGUCAUAAUGCAACGAUUAGUCGAUCGUUUUACAGAAAUCAUCGUCUUGAAACAUAUAAUACAUUACCGGUUUAUUUUAAACCGCAAUUUCCUCGAACGGAACUUUCUAAUCAAAAACUUGGAAUAUUAAGUCGAAAUAUUCGAAAUCAUAGACAGUGUGCAGCUGUUACAUCUAUUAAAUUAUUUUCAACUAAGAAAUCUGAUAGAGAUCCUCCAAACGAUAAUGAUCCAGAGCAAUCAGAGGACUAUUCAGCUACUUUACCUGCUACAGUGGUUGUACCAGAAGUAUGGCCUCAUGUACCUGUUAUUGCAAUCAGUAGAAAUCCUGUUUUUCCUAGGUUUAUCAAGCUUAUAGAACUUUCUAAUCCUAUUCUUAUCGAUUUAAUACGUAGGAAGGUUAAAUUAAAUCAGCCUUAUGUCGGAAUAUUUUUAAAGAAGACCGAAGAAAAUGAAGCAGAGAUUGUACAAAAUAUCGAUGAUAUCUAUUCUGUUGGUACAUUUGCACAAAUUCACGAAGUACAAGAUUUAGGAAAUCGCUUAAGACUUGUAAUAAUGGCACACCGAAGAAUUAAAAUUGUUGGACAAAUUCUAGAAGAUGUUGCUGCUAUACAACCAGUGCAUGAGAUGAAACUGACGUUUCCACUAUUAAAUACAACAAUUAACGUCCCUGUAGACGAUUCAAUGACUGCUGGUAAAGUGAGCCGUAGAACAGCAUUACGUAAAAAGUCAGAAAAGACAUCUGGUCCGUUAGAAAAAUUAGAUAAUUCAAGCACAGAAAAUAUUGUACCGAAUAAACCACUAACGGAAGAAAAACAAACAGAACCCUCUACCGAAUCCACGACAUCAGAAUCUCAGCCAAUUUUAAUGGUAGAAGUUGUAAAUGUUACGCAUGAAAAAUUUAGACAAACAGAAGAAAUUAAGGCACUUACACAAGAAUUAAUUAAAACUAUUAGAGAUAUCAUAAGUAUGAAUCCAUUGUACCGAGAAUCUCUGCAACAAAUGCUUCAUCAAGGACAAAGAGUGGUCGACAAUCCAGUUUACCUGAGUGAUUUGGGUGCUGCUUUAACAGGAGCAGAUGCACAAGAACUGCAGCAAGUGCUAGAAGAAAUGGAUAUUCUUAAAAGAUUGAGAUUAUCGCUUGCACUGCUCAAAAAGGAGUAUGAAUUAAGUAAAUUACAACAAAAGAUUGGUAGGGAAGUUGAGGAAAAAGUAAAACAACAACAUAGAAAAUACAUACUGCAUGAACAGUUAAAGGUCAUUAAGAAAGAACUAGGUUUAGAAAAGGAUGACAAAGAUGCAAUAGAAGAAAAAUAUAGAGAGAAAAUAAGACAAAAAACAGUUCCUAAACCUGUUAUGGAUGUAUUAGAUGAAGAAUUAAAUAAAUUAAGUUUUUUAGAAAGUCAUAGUAGUGAAUUUAAUGUUACAAGAAACUAUUUAGAUUGGUUAACUUCAAUGCCUUGGGGUGUAACUAGUCCAGAAAAUUUAAAUUUGCAACAAGCUGUAGAAAUUUUAGAUGAAGAUCACUAUGGAAUGGAAGAUAUAAAAAAAAGAAUUCUUGAAUUUAUUGCUGUCAGCCAAUUGAAAGGUUCAACUCAGGGAAAAAUAUUGUGUUUCCAUGGUCCUCCUGGAGUAGGAAAAACAUCUAUAGCUAAAUCGAUAGCUCGAGCACUUAACAGAGAGUAUUUCAGAUUUAGCGUUGGAGGAAUGACAGAUGUGGCAGAAAUUAAAGGACACAGAAGAACAUAUGUAGGAGCCAUGCCUGGAAAAGUUAUUCAAUGCUUAAAAAAGACCCAAACUGAAAAUCCAUUAGUGCUGAUAGACGAAGUAGAUAAAAUUGGAAAGGGACAUCAAGGAGACCCUGCUUCUGCCCUUUUAGAAAUGUUGGAUCCAGAACAAAAUGCAAAUUUCUUAGAUCAUUAUUUGGACGUUGCAGUUGACCUAUCAAAAGUUUUGUUUAUAUGUACGGCGAAUGUGGUUGAUACUAUCCCAGAACCUCUUAGAGAUCGAAUGGAAAUGAUCGAGAUGUCCGGUUAUGUAGCAGAAGAAAAACUCGCAAUUGCUAAACAAUAUUUAAUACCACAGGCUAUGAGUGAUAGCGGGCUUAACGAUUCACAUAUUACUAUGCAAGACAAUUCACUUACAUCUUUGAUUAAAUAUUAUUGUCGAGAGUCAGGAGUUAGAAAUCUUCAGAAACAUAUAGAAAAAAUUCACCGUAAAGUGGCUUUCAAAGUCGUUAAGAAAGAAAUAGACAAAGUUGAUGUAACUGCGAGCAAUUUACAUGACUUUGUAGGAAAACCUGUAUUUACACAAGACAGAAUGUAUGAAAUUACACCUCCAGGUGUAGUCAUGGGUCUUGCAUGGACUGCCAUGGGAGGUUCUACAUUGUUUAUCGAAACUGCUAUUCGAAAACCUACGAAUACAAACAAGAUGGAGGGUACAUGUGAAUCUACUGGCCAUUUAGGAGAAGUUAUGAAAGAAUCGAUACAUAUAGCGAUGACAGUAGCUAAGAACUUUUUAAAAAAUGUAGAUCCAUCAAACACAUUUUUAUAUGAUUCUCAUAUACAUUUACACGUUCCUGAAGGAGCUACUCCAAAAGAUGGACCAAGUGCAGGUGUAACUAUUGCAACAGCAUUAAUUUCUCUUGCUAAAAAUCAAGCUAUUAGACAAGAUGUUGCUAUGACAGGAGAACUUAGUUUAAUAGGAAAAGUUCUCCCUGUUGGUGGUAUUAAAGAAAAGACAAUUGCGGCAAAAAGAGUAGGUGUUACGUGCGUAAUAUUACCGGAGGAAAAUAAGAAAGAUUUCAAUGAUCUUCCAAAAUAUAUAACCGAUGGUCUUGAGGUUCAUUUUGCUUCAACAUUUGAAGACAUUUAUCGUAUAUGUUUUCUAGAAGGACAAAAAGCUCCAACUCUUAGUAAUGAUGAAACAUUUUCCAAUAUUCAUAUAUCAUCCGAACAACCAGCACCUCUAAUUGGUAAACAGGAUUCUUUAUGAAAAUAUACUUUAUUAUAUAUAGUGUAUUGAAAGUUGGAUAUAUUCACUGAUAAUGGAGGCUGCUAAGUUAGUCGUACACAAGACAGUUGAAUUGGUCAUUUUUACUUCAUUUUUAAAUGCUAUUGAAAAACAUGUAUAAAAACUGUAAAAUGUGACAGAAUUUUUCUAUAUUGUUAUGUACUGUCAGAUAGUAUAAUUAUAGAAAACAGUUUAUGUUUCAUUAUAUAUUUUUAUAAUUAAUAUUCAUUUAACGAACGUAAGAUUCUACACAAAGAUCAGUGUAGUAAUUAACAAUAUUAAACACGAUGUAUAAUAUUUUUCAAGAACAGUUAAAAACAUACAUCAGGGAUAUAGCUAUAUCAUUAAUUUAUAUAAAUCUAUUAUAUAAUUAAGAGAAAUAAAAUAAUGCUGUUGUUGGAAUUAAUAACAUUUAUUAUCUGGAUUAAUAAACAUAUAUAAUGAAAUAAAUAUGAGUAAUAUAGUAUGAAAUAAAUUAAAAGUUACAAAAUAUUAACAAAGAGAGAAAGACAAGUAAAAAAGAGAAGAAAGAAAAACAGACAAUCCUCAAAUUGAGGCAAGAUGUCUCCAUUUGUGUUUCCAAAUCUUGGAACAAAUAAAGACUAUACAGAUAUAGAAUAAAUUUAAUGCAAAUUUCUCGAAAAAGAGAAUUAUAUUGAAGUAUAUAACAACUGUGACAGUUGCAAAGUAAGCGAGGUUGAAAAUGAUCAAUAAAUAUAACCCCUGCCGCUUAAAGAAACGUUAUCCCUUUAGCCGAUCAGCUGCGACGUGAAUCACGCGAAAUGAAGGAAUAUUAAAAGAGAGAAAACAAAAAAAAAAGGAAGAAGGAAAAUGAGGAAGAGAAAAGGUCGUUAGAAGAAAUAACGAACGCAUAUAAUACGUAUUACG
RNA transcript from Vespula vulgaris, 4267 nucleotides. It is a transcript of the gene named lon protease homolog, mitochondrial, with no coding region annotated. The record is from RefSeq and is a predicted model, not a curated record. NCBI's taxonomy places the organism in Eukaryota, Metazoa, Arthropoda, Insecta, Hymenoptera, Vespidae. The transcript has 12 exons.